GCAUCCAUGGCUGAAUGGUUAAAGCGCCCAACUCAUAAUUGGUGAACUCGAGGGUUCAAUUCCCGCUGGAUGCA
This is a non-coding RNA of Picea glauca (white spruce), 74 nucleotides long. The record is from Rfam. NCBI's taxonomy places the organism in Eukaryota, Viridiplantae, Streptophyta, Pinopsida, Pinales, Pinaceae.